AAGUUCCGACCUGCACGAAUGGCAUAACGACUUGGAAACUGUCUCAACGAGGGACUCGGCGAAAUUGCAAGAACGGUAAAGAUGCCGUUUACCCACGGCUAGACGAAAAGACCCCGUGAAGCUUUACUACAACUUGGCAUUGAAAUAGGAUUAGGUCUGUUCAGAAUAAGUGGGAGACUUUGAAAUCCCGCCGCCAGGCGGGAUGGAGUCGAUAAGUGAAAUACCACUCCGAUUUGCUUCUAUUUCUAACCCGAUCCCGUGAACCCGGGACGGAGACAGUGUCUGGUGGGUAGUUUGACUGGGGCGGUCGCCUCCUAAAAUGUAACGGAGGCGUUUACUAAGGUUGGCUAUCUGUCGAUGGAAACGACAGAGAUAGGGCAAAGCCACAAGCCAGCUUUACUGCAAGACCUACAAGUCGCGCAGUUGCGAAAGCAGAACUUAGUGAUCCGACAAUACUUAAUAGUCGGGUUGAAGCUCAACGGAUAAAAGUUACUCCGGGGAUAACAGGCUGAUCGCGCCCAAGCGUCCACAGCGACGGCGCGGUUUGGCACCUCGAUGUCGGCUCAUCGCAUCCUGGGGGUGGAGAAGCUCCCAAGGGUUUGGCUGUUCGCCAAUUAAAGCGGUACGCGAG
This 631-nucleotide ribosomal RNA is filed under the name Candidatus Kerfeldbacteria bacterium CG_4_10_14_0_8_um_filter_42_10. RNAcentral describes it as "bacterial LSU rRNA". It matches the Rfam family "Bacterial large subunit ribosomal RNA", at positions 1978 to 2604 of the family's 2925-position model. Lineage: Bacteria; Candidatus Kerfeldiibacteriota. The record is from RNAcentral.